This 237-nucleotide ribosomal RNA is filed under the name uncultured bacterium. Its description in RNAcentral is "partial 16S ribosomal RNA". It matches the Rfam family "Bacterial small subunit ribosomal RNA", at positions 97 to 334 of the family's 1533-position model. The record is from RNAcentral.
GGCGGACGGGUGAGUAAUUGCGUAGGAAUUUACCUCAAAGCGGGGGAUAGCCCGGAGAAAUCCGGAUUAAUACCGCAUGUGCUCUACGGAGGAAAGCGGGCCUCUUCUUGAAAGCUCGCACUUUGAGAUAAGCCUACGUCGGAUUAGCUUGUUGGUAGGGUAAAAGCCUACCAAGGCGACGAUCCGUAGCUGGUUUGAGAGGAUGAUCAGCCACACUGGGACUGAGACACGGCCCAG